Molecule: transfer RNA, 76 nt
Filed under: Nakamurella silvestris
Lineage: Bacteria; Bacillati; Actinomycetota; Actinomycetes; Nakamurellales; Nakamurellaceae
Description: tRNA-Asn
Rfam family: tRNA
About the family: Transfer RNA (tRNA) molecules are approximately 80 nucleotides in length. Their secondary structure includes four short double-helical elements and three loops (D, anti-codon, and T loops).
Source: RNAcentral
UCCCCUGUAGCUCAGCUGGCAGAGCGUUCGACUGUUAAUCGAAAUGUCGCUGGUUCGAACCCAGCCGGGGGAGCCA